UACGACUACAUAUCAGGCAUAUCAAUAAGCGGAGGAAAAGAAACUAACAAGGAUUCCCUUAGUAACGGCGAGUGAAGCGGGAAGAGCUCAAAUUUGAAAUCUUCAAGGUUCUACCUUGACGAAUUGUAGUUUAAAGAAGUGUUUUCUGUUAGAUGAGUAGCAAAAGUUCCUUGGAAUGGGACAUCAUAGAGGGUGAGAAUCCCGUAUUUGGUUAUUCAUUCUAGCUUUGUGAUACACUUUCAAAGAGUCGGAUUGUUUGGGAAUGCAGUCCAAAAUGGGUGGUAAAUUUCAUCUAAAGCUAAAUAUUGGCGAGAGACCGAUAGCGAACAAGUACCGUGAGGGAAAGAUGAAAAGAACUUUGAAAAGAGAGUUAAACAGUACGUGAAAUUGUCAAAAGGGAAGCGUUUGACACCAGUGUUGUUUUUCCGAAAAUCAAUUACGAAUGGCUUGAUUUUGUGUUGUAUUGACCUUAUCAGCUUUCUUCACUUUUUUCGAGUCUUUCUUAAUGCACUUUUCGGUUAACAAGUCAACAUCAAUUUCUUUUGUUGUAAAAGAGUAUUCGGAAGGUGGCUUUCUUUUCGGAGAAAGUGUUUAUAGCCCUAGUACUUCUACAAUCGGAGAGAUUGAGGUCUGCAGCGUAGAUCCUUCGGGGUUAGAUACACUUGUGCUAAGUUGUAGCUUUUCAUAGACAACUUGUUGACUAUGUUUUAGUCAUUGCGGCUUACUCGCUUAUGCUAUUUUACCUACGCUUAGGAUGUUGAGUAGCGACAUACGCAC
This 777-nucleotide ribosomal RNA is filed under the name uncultured Neocallimastigales. RNAcentral's name for it is "partial large subunit ribosomal RNA". It matches the Rfam family "Eukaryotic large subunit ribosomal RNA", at positions 24 to 649 of the family's 3401-position model. Lineage: Eukaryota; Fungi; Neocallimastigomycota; Neocallimastigomycetes; Neocallimastigales. The record is from RNAcentral.